Molecule: ribosomal RNA, 495 nt
Filed under: uncultured bacterium
Lineage: Bacteria
Description: partial 16S ribosomal RNA
Rfam family: Bacterial small subunit ribosomal RNA
Source: RNAcentral
GAUGAACGCUGGCGGCGUGCUUAACACAUGCAAGUCGAACGAAGCACUUUUAUCGAUUUCUUCGGAAUGAAGUUUUAGUGACUGAGUGGCGGACGGGUGAGUAACGCGUGGGUAACCUGCCUCACACAGGGGGAUCACAGUUGGAAACGGCUGCUAAUACCGCAUAAGCGCACAGUCAUGCAUGGUACGGUGUGAAAAACUCCGGUGGUGUGAGAUGGACCCGCGUCUGAUUAGCUAGUUGGCAGGGCAACGGCCUACCAAGGCGACGAUCAGUAGCCGACCUGAGAGGGUGACCGGCCACAUUGGGACUGAGACACGGCCCAAACUCCUACGGGAGGCAGCAGUGGGGAAUAUUGCACAAUGGGGGAAACCCUGAUGCAGCGACGCCGCGUGAGCGAUGAAGUAUUUCGGUAUGUAAGGCUCUAUCAGCAGGGAAGAAAAUGACGGUACCUGACUAAGAAGCACCGGCUAAAUACGUGCCAGCCGCCGCCGUAA